Molecule: ribosomal RNA, 435 nt
Filed under: uncultured bacterium
Lineage: Bacteria
Description: bacterial SSU rRNA
Rfam family: Bacterial small subunit ribosomal RNA
Source: RNAcentral
UGAGGAAUAUUGGUCAAUGGACGCAAGUCUGAACCAGCCAUGCCGCGUGCAGGAAGAAGGUGCUAUGCAUUGUAAACUGCUUUUAUACGGGGGUAAGUUACAGAUACGUGUAUCUGGUUGAAAGUACCGUAUGAAUAAGGAUCGGCUAACUCCGUGCCAGCAGCCGCGGUAAUACGGAGGAUCCGAGCGUUAUCCGGAUUUAUUGGGUUUAAAGGGUGCGUAGGCGGUCAGGUAAGUUAGAGGUGAAAGCUCGAUGCUCAACAUCGAAACUGCCUCUGAUACUGUCUGGCUAGAGUGUAGUUGCGGAAGGCGGAAUGUGUGGUGUAGCGGUGAAAUGCUUAGAUAUCACACAGAACACCGAUUGCGAAGGCAGCUUUCCAAGCUAUUACUGACGCUGAGGCACGAAAGCGUGGGGAGCGAACAGGAUUAGAUACC